This 728-nucleotide ribosomal RNA is filed under the name Actinomycetota bacterium. Its description in RNAcentral is "bacterial SSU rRNA". It matches the Rfam family "Bacterial small subunit ribosomal RNA", at positions 1 to 731 of the family's 1533-position model. The record is from RNAcentral. Lineage: Bacteria; Bacillati; Actinomycetota.
UCUAUGGAGAGUUUGAUCCUGGCUCAGGACGAACGCUGGCGGCGUGCUUAAUACAUGCAAGUCGAGCGAGAACCCAGAGAGGGGUAACCCUUUCUGGGGGACAGCGGCGAACGGGUGAGUAACACGUGGGCAACGUGCCCCAGACACCGGGAUAACAGUGGGAAACCGCUGCUAAUACCGGAUGAUCCCUAACCACCGCAUGGUGGACAGGGCAAAGCUCCGACGGUCUGGGAUCGGCCCGCGUCCUAUCAGCUUGUUGGUGAGGUAACGGCUCACCAAGGCAGUGACGGGUAGCUGACGUGAGAGCGUGGACAGCCACACUGGGACUGAGACACGGCCCAGACUCCUACGGGAGGCAGCAGUAGGGAAUCUUGCACAAUGGGCGAAAGCCUGAUGCAGCGACGCCGCGUGUGGGAUGAAGGCUUUCGGGUUGUAAACCACUUUCAGCGGGGACGAAGCCUCACGGUGACGGUACCCGCAGAAGAAGGUCCGGCCAACUACGUGCCAGCAGCCGCGGUAAUACGUAGGGACCGAGCGUUGUCCGGAUUUAUUGGGCGUAAAGCGCGCGUAGGCGGCCGUCCACGUCGAAUGUGAAAGCUCAGAGCUCAACUCUGAGAGGCCAUUCGAUACGGGACAGCUAGAGGCAGCUAGGGGAGAGUGGAAUUCCUGGUGUAGCGGUGAAAUGCGCAGAUAUCAGGAGGAACACCGGUGGCGAAGGCGGCUCUCUG